AGUGCCGUUGAUACUGUGAGGCUAGGAUUUGGUUGCUGUGGGUGGAAUGUGUGGUGUAGCGGUGAAAUGCUUAGAGAUCACACAGAAUAUCGAUUGCGAAGGCAGCUCACAAAGCCAAGAUUGACGCUGAGGCACGAAAGUGUGGGGAUCAAACAGGAUUAGAUACCCUGGUAGUCCACACUGUAAACGAUGAUAACUCGCUGUCGGCGAUAUACAGUCGGUGGCCAAGCGAAAGCGAUAAGUUAUCCACCUGGGGAGUACGACCGCAAGGUUGAAACUCAAAGGAAUUGACGGGGGCCCGCACAAGCGGAGGAACAUGUGGUUUAAUUCGAUGAUACGCGAGGAACCUUACCCGGGCUCGAACGGUGCAGGAAUAUGGUAGAGAUAUCAUAGCUAGCAAUAGUCUGUAUCGAGGUGCUGCGUGGUUGUCGUCAGCUCGUGCCGUGAGGUGUCGGCUUAAGUGCCAUAACGAGCGCACCCCUUGUCAUUAGUCCCAUCAGGUCACGCUGGGGACUCUAAUGAGACUGCCACCGUAAGGUGAGAGGAAGGGGGGGAUGACGUCAAAUCAGCACGGCCCUUAUGUCCGGGGCGACACACGUGUUACAAUGGGGGGGUACAGAGGGCAGCCAUCCGGCGACGGAGCCCAAUCCUCAAAACCCUUCCUCAGUUCGGAUUGGGAGUCUGCAACCCGA
RNAcentral lists this ribosomal RNA (692 nucleotides) under uncultured bacterium. Its description in RNAcentral is "bacterial SSU rRNA". It matches the Rfam family "Bacterial small subunit ribosomal RNA", at positions 620 to 1315 of the family's 1533-position model. The record is from RNAcentral.